UUGACCCUCGGAUUCAGUCCGGUAUCCUCCCCUC
This 34-nucleotide ribosomal RNA is filed under the name Curvularia lunata. Its description in RNAcentral is "partial 28S ribosomal RNA". The record is from RNAcentral. Lineage: Eukaryota; Fungi; Ascomycota; Dothideomycetes; Pleosporales; Pleosporaceae.